This is a long non-coding RNA of Gossypium arboreum, 721 nucleotides long. RefSeq lists it as uncharacterized. The transcript is spliced from 2 exons. NCBI's taxonomy places the organism in Eukaryota, Viridiplantae, Streptophyta, Magnoliopsida, Malvales, Malvaceae. The record is from RefSeq and is a predicted model, not a curated record.
GUUUAGGUUUCAAGUACUGUGAUAUCUACAGAGUACCCUAGUUUCCGCUAACCAUGAGAUUUCAAUGCUGUAAUUUGAUGGAAAUGUUUGAAUUCAAGAAAUGAAAACUCGCUACGGCACUAAAAGCUGCAGUGGCAUCCAUGUUUCAGGGUGUAUGAGGUUAUGUGGCUUGACCAUUUUGAAGCAGGUAAGUGCCAAACCAGAGACGUCAGCACCUUUGGGUGUAUAGUGUGUUCUUGUUCUGAUAUUGAUCUUCCCAUGUGCUCAGGAUUUCCCUUCCAGAAUCGAACAGAGCUGUCAAUCACAAUGAAUCAGGAUGCAGGCUGAGUGAAAUGGGGGGAGAGGUCUUGUUGGUCGGAGUUCCUUUGGAGGAAAAAAAGGUUAGAGGGUGUUUGGAAUUUGCACUUUGACCCAAAGUGGUAAGGGUGGGAAGAGAGAUGGGAGGUCUAAUCCAACCGCUUUGCCAUUCUUCUAGUGUUUAUUGUUAAUAAACAAAUCCAGAUAAAAGUGUUUGAGAUUCCAUAAUUAAAGGACAAAUAACAAUUGGAUCGCUUUUGUUUAGUGUGUAUUUUUAUACAGAUAAAAAUCACAUGCAAAGGUGCUAACAUGUGGUAGCUUUCAAGCAUGUGAUGGGAGGGCUUUUCUUAAAUUUUACCUUUUGAUUCAUUGAAUGAAUGUUACUCCAGUUUGGGAGUAUCAAAUUUUAGAUUUUCUUGUAUUA